RNAcentral lists this non-coding RNA (25 nucleotides) under Rattus norvegicus (Norway rat). Lineage: Eukaryota; Metazoa; Chordata; Mammalia; Rodentia; Muridae. The record is from RNAcentral.
UGGGCUUUCAGGGGCUGCCUCAGUC